RNAcentral lists this unclassified non-coding RNA (237 nucleotides) under plant metagenome. RNAcentral's name for it is "partial contains small subunit ribosomal RNA, internal transcribed spacer 1, and 5.8S ribosomal RNA". The stretch from base 189 to 237 matches the Rfam family "5.8S ribosomal RNA", at positions 1 to 49 of the family's 154-position model. The record is from RNAcentral.
UCUCCGUAGGUGAACCUGCGGAGGGAUCAUUACAAGUGACCCCGGUCUAACCACCGGGAUGUUCAUAACCCUUUGUUGUCCGACUCUGUUGCCUCCGGGGCGACCCUGCCUUCGGGCGGGGGCUCCGGGUGGACACUUCAAACUCUUGCGUAACUUUGCAGUCUGAGUAAACUUAAUUAAUAAAUUAAAACUUUUAACAACGGAUCUCUUGGUUCUGGCAUCGAUGAAGAAUGCAGC